CUAGAAUAGUCCUUUCCUCUUCUCUCAGGAAAAAUAAUGGAAUGCUGAAAGUUGGAGAAGGGACAGAACUGGAGGUUUAAUGGGGAUGGGGGAACAGUCAGAAAUGAGCUAGAAAGCUGCUAGUCUGCAAUGACAAGGACCUACUUGACGCUCUGGCACAAGGUGAUGGCUAGGGAUUCAGGUUUGGAAUUCUGGAAGCCUCGGACUUGGAGGACAUAGAAUGGAAG
RNAcentral lists this long non-coding RNA (227 nucleotides) under Homo sapiens (human). RNAcentral describes it as "HSALNT0167695". Lineage: Eukaryota; Metazoa; Chordata; Mammalia; Primates; Hominidae. The record is from RNAcentral.